UACGUAGGGUGCAAGCGUUAAUCGGAAUUACUGGGCGUAAAGCGUGCGCAGGCGGUUAUGCAAGACAGAUGUGAAAUCCCCGGGCUUAACCUGGGAACUGCAUUUGUGACUGCAUUGCUGGAGUGCGGCAGAGGGGGAUGGAAUUCCGCGUGUAGCAGUGAAAUGCGUAGAUAUGCGGAGGAACACCGAUGGCGAAGGCAAUCCCCUGGGCCUGCACUGACGCUCAUGCACGAAAGCGUGGGGAGCAAACAGG
This 253-nucleotide ribosomal RNA is filed under the name uncultured bacterium. RNAcentral's name for it is "partial 16S ribosomal RNA". It matches the Rfam family "Bacterial small subunit ribosomal RNA", at positions 524 to 776 of the family's 1533-position model. The record is from RNAcentral.